Molecule: ribosomal RNA, 243 nt
Filed under: uncultured bacterium
Lineage: Bacteria
Description: partial 16S ribosomal RNA
Source: RNAcentral
CUGCUGCCUUCCGUAGGAGUCUGGGCCGUAUCUCAGUCCCAAUGUGGCCGGCCAACCUCUCAGUCCGGCUACUGAUCGUCGCCUUGGUGAGCCGUUACCUCACCAACUAGCUAAUCAGACGCGAGGCCAUCUUUCAGCGAUAAAUCUUUGACAUAAAUGCCAUGCGACACCUAUGUGUUAUGCGGUAUUAGCAGUCGUUUCCAACUGUUGUCCCCCUCUGAAAGGCAGGUUCCUCACGCGUUA